Molecule: transfer RNA, 69 nt
Filed under: Bos taurus (domestic cattle)
Lineage: Eukaryota; Metazoa; Chordata; Mammalia; Artiodactyla; Bovidae
Also listed under: 1 other name
Rfam family: tRNA
About the family: Transfer RNA (tRNA) molecules are approximately 80 nucleotides in length.
Source: Rfam by way of RNAcentral
UCCCAGGUGUCUGAGUGGUAAAGAAUCUGCCUGCCAAGCAGGAGACUCGGGUUCUGCCGAGGUUGGGAA